Molecule: ribosomal RNA, 1372 nt
Filed under: uncultured bacterium
Lineage: Bacteria
Description: bacterial SSU rRNA
Rfam family: Bacterial small subunit ribosomal RNA
Source: RNAcentral
GAUGAACGCUGGCGGCGUGCCUAAUACAUGCAAGUCGAGCGAACGGACGAGAAGCUUGCUUCUCUGAUGUUAGCGGCGGACGGGUGAGUAACACGUGGAUAACCUACCUAUAAGACUGGGAUAACUUCGGGAAACCGGAGCUAAUACCGGAUAAUAUUUUGAACCGCAUGGUUCAAAAGUGAAAGACGGUCUUGCUGUCACUUAUAGAUGGAUCCGCGCUGCAUUAGCUAGUUGGUAAGGUAACGGCUUACCAAGGCAACGAUGCAUAGCCGACCUGAGAGGGUGAUCGGCCACACUGGAACUGAGACACGGUCCAGACUCCUACGGGAGGCAGCAGUAGGGAAUCUUCCGCAAUGGGCGAAAGCCUGACGGAGCAACGCCGCGUGAGUGAUGAAGGUCUUCGGAUCGUAAAACUCUGUUAUUAGGGAAGGACAUAUGUGUAAGUAACUGUGCACAUCUUGACGGUACCUAAUCAGAAAGCCACGGCUAACUACGUGCCAGCAGCCGCGGUAAUACGUAGGUGGCAAGCGUUAUCCGGAAUUAUUGGGCGUAAAGCGCGCGUAGGCGGUUUUUUAAGUCUGAUGUGAAAGCCCGCGGCUCAACCGUGGAGGGUCAUUGGAAACUGGAAAACUUGAGUGCAGAAGAGGAAAGUGGAAUUCCAUGUGUAGCGGUGAAAUGCGCAGAGAUAUGGAGGAACACCAGUGGCGAAGGCGACUUUCUGGUCUGUAACUGACGCUGAUGUGCGAAAGCGUGGGGAUCAAACAGGAUUAGAUACCCUGGUAGUCCACGCCGUAAACGAUGAGUGCUAAGUGUUAGGGGGUUUCCGCCCCUUAGUGCUGCAGCUAACGCAUUAAGCACUCCGCCUGGGGAGUACGACCGCAAGGUUGAAACUCAAAGGAAUUGACGGGGACCCGCACAAGCGGUGGAGCAUGUGGUUUAAUUCGAAGCAACGCGAAGAACCUUACCAAAUCUUGACAUCCUUUGACAACUCUAGAGAUAGAGCUUUCCCCUUCGGGGGACAAAGUGACAGGUGGUGCAUGGUUGUCGUCAGCUCGUGUCGUGAGAUGUUGGGUUAAGUCCCGCAACGAGCGCAACCCUUAAGCUUAGUUGCCAUCAUUAAGUUGGGCACUCUAAGUUGACUGCCGGUGACAAACCGGAGGAAGGUGGGGAUGACGUCAAAUCAUCAUGCCCCUUAUGAUUUGGGCUACACACGUGCUACAAUGGACAAUACAAAGGGCAGCGAAACCGCGAGGUCAAGCAAAUCCCAUAAAGUUGUUCUCAGUUCGGAUUGUAGUCUGCAACUCGACUAUAUGAAGCUGGAAUCGCUAGUAAUCGUAGAUCAGCAUGCUACGGUGAAUACGUUCCCGGGUCU